Molecule: small nucleolar RNA, 139 nt
Filed under: Sorex araneus (European shrew)
Lineage: Eukaryota; Metazoa; Chordata; Mammalia; Eulipotyphla; Soricidae
Description: Small nucleolar RNA SNORA72 (ENSSARG00000019431.1)
Rfam family: Small nucleolar RNA SNORA72
About the family: U72 is a member of the H/ACA class of snoRNAs. The snoRNA gene is located in intron 4 of the ribosomal L30 protein gene in human, mouse and chicken.
Source: RNAcentral
CAAUGAAUUGCAUCUCUUUUGCCCUUUAAGAUCCUAUUCUGUCAGGACAGGCUAAACCUUCAUUUUAAUAAGACCAUGUAUGUGUCCCCAGAAUUAGUUAUUUACCUUUCUAGAUCUGAUCUUGGAAAUGGUUACGAUA